Molecule: long non-coding RNA, 227 nt
Filed under: Carica papaya (papaya)
Lineage: Eukaryota; Viridiplantae; Streptophyta; Magnoliopsida; Brassicales; Caricaceae
Description: long non-coding RNA (CPAP_LNC010690)
Source: RNAcentral
GAGGGUUAGGAAUGCAUUCAAUAAAAUUAGGAAUGUGAUGUUGAAAAUUGUUUCAAGAAUAAAUCAAAAAUAUGCUGCAGGUAUUUCUUGAUUUUAUGCAAAAUAGUUUUCGGCAGAUAUUUUUUGAUUUUAUACAUGUUAGUCUUCCUUAUUUUCUUGCUUCUAAUUAAUUUGUUAUUAGUGACAGAAUUUUUGGAGAUUAUGUAAUGAUUUUUAGCCUUUCUGUU